This 710-nucleotide ribosomal RNA is filed under the name Phytophthora asparagi. Its description in RNAcentral is "eukaryotic LSU rRNA". It matches the Rfam family "Eukaryotic large subunit ribosomal RNA", at positions 71 to 621 of the family's 3401-position model. The record is from RNAcentral. Lineage: Eukaryota; Oomycota; Peronosporomycetes; Peronosporales; Peronosporaceae.
AGGAUUCCCCUAGUAACGGCGAGUGAAGCGGGAAGAGCUCAAGCUUAAAAUCUCCGUGCAAGUUUUGCGCGGCGAAUUGUAGUCUAUAGAGGCGUGGUCAGCGUGGGCGCUCGGGGCAAGUUCCUUGGAAGAGGACAGCAUGGAGGGUGAUACUCCCGUUCAUCCCUGAGUUGCUCGUGCGUACGACCCGUGUUCUUUGAGUCGCGUUGUUUGGGAAUGCAGCGCAAAGUAGGUGGUAAAUUCCAUCUAAAGCUAAAUAUUGGUGCGAGACCGAUAGCGAACAAGUACCGUGAGGGAAAGAUGAAAAGAACUUUGAAAAGAGAGUUAAAGAGUACCUGAAACUGCUGAAAGGGAACCGAAUCGUUUCCAGUGUCUAUAAUCCGUGGCAUAUUUCAUUGGCGAGUGUGUGCGUGCGUGUGCUGUGGCAGCGGCUUUUUUGGCUGCGCUCGGCGUGUGUGCUGUGUGUGCUUGCUGGUGCCCUGUGCUGCGGUGGGACGUCAAGGUCAGUUCGUAUGCUGCGGGAAAUGGCUGCCGAGGAGGUAGGGCUUACGCUCCGCGUUUGUCUAUUAUAUCUUGGUGGACGAGUCGUCGCGGUUGGGACUGAGGUGCCUACAACGUGCUUUUGAGUGGUCGUGUGUCUCCGUGUGCGCCGUGUGCGGAUAGCUUGCUAUGCGUGUGUGGUUGUGUGUGGAUUGAUGCGUGUCUUAACU